AUACGUAGGUGGCGAGCGUUGUCCGGAAGUUACUGGGCGUAAAGGGUGUGCAGGCGGAUAUUUAAGUGAGAUGUGAAAGACCCGGGCUUAACCCGGGGCAGUGCAUUUCAAACUGGAUAUCUAGAGUGCAGGAGAGGAGAAUGGAAUUCCUAGUGUAGCGGUGAAAUGCGUAGAGAUUAGGAAGAACACCAGUGGCGAAGGCGAUUCUCUGGACUGUAACUGACGCUGAGGCACGAAAGCGUGGGUAGC
This 249-nucleotide ribosomal RNA is filed under the name uncultured bacterium. Its description in RNAcentral is "partial 16S ribosomal RNA". It matches the Rfam family "Bacterial small subunit ribosomal RNA", at positions 523 to 769 of the family's 1533-position model. The record is from RNAcentral.